RNAcentral lists this ribosomal RNA (346 nucleotides) under uncultured Peredibacter sp. RNAcentral's name for it is "bacterial SSU rRNA". It matches the Rfam family "Bacterial small subunit ribosomal RNA", at positions 1014 to 1360 of the family's 1533-position model. Lineage: Bacteria; Pseudomonadati; Bdellovibrionota; Bacteriovoracia; Bacteriovoracales; Bacteriovoracaceae. The record is from RNAcentral.
UGCCCGCAAGGGAAUGUAGUGAGGGGUGCUGCAUGGCUGUCGUCAGCUCGUGUUGUGAAAUGUUGGGUUAAGUCUCGCAACGAGCGCAACCCCUAUCGUCUGUUGCCAGCAUUAAGUUGGGCACUCUGACGAGACUGCCUGGGUUAACCAGGAGGAAGGUGGGGAUGACGUCAAGUCCUCAUGGCCCUUAUGUCUAGGGCUACACACGUAAUACAAUGGCGCGUACAAAGGGAAGCGAACCUGCAAAGGGGAGCAAAUCUCAAAAAGCGCGUCUCAGUUCGGAUUGGAGUCUGCAACUCGACUCCAUGAAGUUGGAAUCGCUAGUAAUCGGAGAUCAGCACGCUCC